GGAAAACAAGAAAACAGACAAGUGUUUUCGGUGGUAGACAAGAACCGCACAAGGAAGAUAUACCCGAGAGAUUCAAGAGAGAGUUUGCAAAGAUUGUUUUGUAAACAUUGAGCUUGUAACCGACUUUUCAAGUAUUAAUACAUUGGUGUUAAUCGUUGAGUCUCGGUCUUGUAUCUCGUGUUCUUGUCGUGUUCGAUCUCGGUUUGCAUCUCCGGUUGGAUUCCGCACAACCGGGUGUGUUUGUAUACAAGGAUUAGGCGACUAGAUCCUCCUAGCCGGACCUACAAGUGGUAUCAGAGCAUUGGCUCUUCUCCUUGUUAAAACCGAGUGUUUUCGGGUGUGUUUUGGGUUUUUGAAGUUUAGUGUUUCUUGAAAAUUUCUGCUUAAAACAUCGAAAAUCUGCCUUUUUUGUUGAAAGUUCUUAUAAAAACCUCUUUAUUUUUCAUUUUCACAUGUUAAAAGUGUUGGUUCACCGGAAAACUCUUUAGUUUACCGGAAAACUCAAAUUUUCUGGGUAGUUCUUUAUAUCUUCAACAAUCUUCAAGUGUUCUUCAUAUAAUUCUACUUUUUGAUCCUUAGAAGUUAUUGGUGGAAGUUGUUAGUGUUUUGGAAUUUGUAAAAGGAUUAUUAUAGUACACACCUUACUGGUUGGUAGGAUUGAGCUUACUUUAAAAUGGAAGUGGGUCCGUUGUGUCAGGCAUAGAAAGUCAAGGUGAUUAGAUAUUUUGAUCUUAGGCAAUACGUAGUGGGGCGCCAGAAGGGGCUAUAGCGCCCGUAUAGCGCCGCGAACACCGCCCCCCCCCCCCCCCCCCGGCGCCAUGUUCGAAUUUUUUUGGCUAGCGCGAAGAUCUUAGCGGCGUUAUGGAAUUUGUUUUGAAUUUUUUUGACCGUUGUAACGGUCAAUUUCAUU
RNAcentral lists this long non-coding RNA (910 nucleotides) under Helianthus annuus (common sunflower). RNAcentral's name for it is "hypothetical non coding rna". Lineage: Eukaryota; Viridiplantae; Streptophyta; Magnoliopsida; Asterales; Asteraceae. The record is from RNAcentral.